UAACCUGUUAUUAGCCACAUUUAGUAAAAGUUUAGGGCAUAAUUCCUUUCCUCCAAAUAUGUGUGUUCUGUUAUACUAACAUUGUCCCUUUCCUUUUUUAUUUUUAACUUACAGCAAAGCAGAAUAAUACACAAAGACAAGAUGAAGCAGAUGUUUCAGGCCUACAUUACAAUUCAGACAGAAAUUUAAAUUAGCUGAAGAAAUCAGAACAAAAUGCUUUUUAAGUGCUUCUGUGCUAUCAGCUACUCAAGGGAUAGUUACAGGCAAUAUGCCUUUCAGCGCCUGUUGCUUCCCUUACAGCCUUUGAUGUGAUCUUAUUAAGAGAGAUUCCCUUUAGGAAUGUGCUCAGAGCACUAAGCCUUGGGAGCUUGGUGUCCCAGAGACCAGAUUCCAAACUUGAUUGAGAUAGUUGUGUAAAUAGGACUGUUGACACAUAGAGAACAUCAGGAUAUAUCUCAAAGUUGUGCUGUAUGUGUCAUUUGUGCUUUAUAUUCCAAUAAAAGAUUUACAUUUCUGAAUUAGUUUUUCUUCAGGCCGAUUCCAAAAUUAGAUGUAGAGAAUGUCCAAACUAACUUCAGUAAAAAGGAUGCCAGUUGGAACACUUUUCUAGUGAAAAAAUGGGUUUGAAGAGAACAAAUAUUUUCAUAGAAAGUGUUUGCUUUCCUCCAAACGUGACCCCCUCUCGUAAACCCCAAAAGCUUAAAAGCAAAAGAGAUUUGAUUGUUGUCAAUUUUGGGAUUGUUCCCCUCCCAUUCCCUGAGCAUUUUCCAAUGGAAAAUAUUCAGGGUUUGGGUUUUUAGCCCUUUGCUAAAAUGUCAACAUUUUCCAAAGGGUGAAGGAGGGAAAAAGAGAAGAAAAGAAAAACAUGUUCUGACCAGCUCCUGUCAGAGCCAAAUGGCUCAAUCCUGGAUUUGGUCAGGCAAGUAUGCUGGAGGGGAGAAAAUGGGAGUGCCUUGGUUCCAAGCACAGUCUGGCUGGGCUGAGGACUGUGUAUCACGAUCCAUUUGUAUGAGUCAUUCCAGUCGACAUUUCACCAGGGGAGUGUGUGUAGUGGCUUUUAAGCACUUCAGGUCAAUAUGUUAGUUGCAAACACUGCCUUGCUGCUUACUACGGCCACUCUGGCUCUCUGCGUGCGUGUGGGAUGCACACAGGUACAUUCUGUUCGAGUUCAGAUCCUCCAAUAUUUCCAUGACGUCUCUAACUCACAGAGACAACAAUAACACCUGGCACCUAUCCAGACCUGUGAAUUCAGCUCUCUGCCAUUCAUAAAAGAGGAGAAAGAAGAAAAAAUUAGCCUUCAAAAGCCCCAGCCAGCUAUGGAAUAGGGAGAGGCGCUGGCAGAGCUGACAUAGAGGCUGCUAAACUGCACACGCAUGUGUGUAUGCCAUCCUGCUUCUGGUGGGAAAGGAUUGGCUUUGUUUCCCCAGUGUGCUGCUGACCCCCAGCUGUCUCCUUGGUCUCCAGAAAGCUGUCCUGCUGCACUUGGGCACCUUCAGAUCUGAUGAAGACCAGGGCCAUCUUUGCUUCUGCCUCUCCAAGGUGUCUCCCAGAGCUGCAACGGGAGAGCUGGGGUACGGUUGCACACCCAGAUUAGGUCUUUGUCCCCCUCUAGUGACUUGACUGAAAAAGAAGUUUUCUGAGGGCUACUCCCUCCAAGCAAGACUGUCAUUACUUUAGGCCAGGAUGUUGAAUGGUUUCCUUUCCGAAGGCUAGCAGGACAUCUAAGCACCACUGGGAGGUCAUGUAGUUAUACGCACUAAGACAUUAUCCAUUACCAAUGUAAACAGUAAUUAGGAGCUUGACUUUCUGCUCUAACAGGCUGUGUGUGCCUGCUUCCCUCCCAUGGAGGCCGGCGGUCACAGACUUCAAAUGACGUCCUGUGCUCGGCCAUCCAGGAGACCCGGCCAGGUCCACGGUCACCGUGCAAGAGCUCAAGCAGUGGGGCUCCCGUGCCCAAACACUUGCUGAGUCACAGCCUAGUCACCCAUGCGCUUCGCGAGUCGCGUCAGCCAUCUGUCACCAGCACAUCCUCCUCGCCGCUCUGUGACUCCACAGGGAAAACAACAGGAGGCAGAUUGCAUUCUGCUGAGAAGCCAGGCUCUCGUGCAUCGUGGCGCUGAGUAACCCCUGGCUUGCCUUCUAAGCAGCGGUAAAGCCUUUGGCUCCUCUUUGUUUGGCCCUUUGUCAGGGAAGAAAGUGACAUUCAGGUUCAAACGCUGAACGCUUUGGCUGACUAAUGAGUGACUGCAAACAAAGCAGACUCAGGCAAGACAUUGAUAGUAUUUUGCAAAACCUCCCGGCUACAUACAAGUCAUCUACGCCGGCCUCCACGCUGGCGCUCGCCUCAAACCAGAGUGUUCAAAAAACCAGCAGCUAAACACAGGGAGCCCUGCUUGCUACGGCCUCGUCCCCUUCCGUGUCAGCUAAAAGGUGCGAAAGCGGAGUCUUGGGGUGCCCCCAUCCCAGUUAACCUCCCUCCCGUGCUCUCUCUCGGUUCUGCCGUGCUGGGGGCGCGUGUGGGGGCCCGGCCCUGAGGGCAGGCCGCAUGUCGUGCCACGUUCCUCCAUCGCCGACCAGCUGAAGUCCUGCCCAGUUAUUUUUACCAGAUUGCCCAUCACCGGCCAGUGUGUUCACCACGGCCGCUCGUUCCUGCUUGACUCGAUGCCAGGACGCAAUCUCAGCCGAGCAGGAGUGGCAGCGGGGCCCUUCGCGCCCUUCCCUUCUCCCAGGCUUUCAGCUGGAGUGAGUCAUUUCGUGCAAAGGAAGCACAGUCAUCCAGGCUUAGGUCCUCAGAGGUGCUUCCCUACUUAACUCCGGAUGACACUUCUCGGCCCCGAGUGCUCCCAGGAAUGCCAGAGAGCUGACGAUUAGCGUUGCAUUUCUUCCGUCCGAGCCCCCGUCCUGCCUGUGGGACUGGGGGAUGAGGAGGAAACGCUCUGAAUCCUCACCAUCCCCUGGGGUGGGGUUGCUUUGGGGGUCUCGUCCUAACUGGAGGCUCUGCGAAGCAUCUGUUGGAGUUGUUGCGAUAGGAUAUCACAGAAUAAAUGCCUUCUGCUUGAAGAAUA
Molecule: long non-coding RNA, 3065 nt
Organism: Cygnus atratus (black swan)
Lineage: Eukaryota; Metazoa; Chordata; Aves; Anseriformes; Anatidae
Exons: 2
Source: RefSeq, a predicted model, not a curated record